UAGGUGACCUGCGGAGGGAUCAUUACUGAGUGAGGGCCUUCGGGCUCGACCUCCAACCCUUUGUGAACACAACUUGUUGCUUCGGGGGCGACCCUGCCGUUUCGACGGCGAGCGCCCCCGGAGGCCUUCAAACACUGCAUCUUUGCGUCGGAGUUUAAGUAAAUUAAACAAAACUUUCAACAACGGAUCUCUUGGUUCUGGCAUCGAUGAAGAACGCAGCGAAAUGCGAUAAGUAAUGUGAAUUGCAGAAUUCAGUGAAUCAUCGAAUCUUUGAACGCACAUUGCGCCCCUUGGUAUUCCGAGGGGCAUGCCUGUUCGAGCGUCAUUUCACCACUCAAGCCUGGCUUGGUAUUGGGCGCCGCGGUCAAUCCGCGCGCCUCAAAGUCUCCGGCUGAGCUGUCCGUCUCUAAGCGUUGUGAUUUCAUUAAUCGCUUCGGAGUGCGGGCGGCCGCGGCCGUUAAAUCUUUCAAAGGUUGACCUCGGAUCAGGUAGGGAUACCCGCUGAACUUAAGCAUAUCAAUAAGCCGGGAGGAA
Molecule: ribosomal RNA, 534 nt
Filed under: fungal sp. NLR-2013
Lineage: Eukaryota; Fungi
Description: eukaryotic LSU rRNA
Rfam family: 5.8S ribosomal RNA (bases 172-325)
Source: RNAcentral